CUACGUGCCAGCAGCCGCGGUAAUACGUAGGUCCCGAGCGUUGUCCGGAUUUAUUGGGCGUAAAGCGAGCGCAGGCGGUUAGAUAAGUCUGAAGUUAAAGGCUGUGGCUUAACCAUAGUACGCUUUGGAAACUGUUUAACUUGAGUGCAAGAGGGGAGAGUGGAAUUCCAUGUGUAGCGGUGAAAUGCGUAGAUAUAUGGAGGAACACCGGUGGCGAAGGCGACUUUCUGGACUGCAACUGACGCUGAGGCUCGAAAGCCAGGGGAGCGAACGGGAUUAGAUACCCCGGUAGUCCUGGCCGUAAACGAUGGAUACUAGGUGUGGGAGGUAUCGACCCCUACCGUGCCGGAGUUAACGCAAUAAGUAUCCCGCCUGGGGAGUACGGUCGCAAGACUGAAACUCAAAGAAAUUGACGGGGGCCCGCACAAGCGGCGGAGCAUGCGGAUUAAUUCGAUGCAACGCGAAGAACCUUACCAAGGCUUGACAU
RNAcentral lists this ribosomal RNA (487 nucleotides) under uncultured bacterium. RNAcentral describes it as "bacterial SSU rRNA". It matches the Rfam family "Bacterial small subunit ribosomal RNA", at positions 501 to 987 of the family's 1533-position model. The record is from RNAcentral.